AUUGAACGCUGGCGGCCGGCCUAACACAUGCAAGUCGAGCGAGCGGCGGACGGGUGAGUAAUGUAUGGGGACUGCCCGAUAGAGGGGGAUAACUACUGGAAACGGUAGCUAAUACCGCAUACUAUCGGAUAACCCAUAUGGGAUUAGCUAGUAGGUGAGGUAAUGGCUCACCUAGGCGACGAUCCCUAGCUGGUCUGAGAGGAUGAUCAGCCAAACUGGGACGGAGACACGGUCCAGAGUCCUACGGAGGCAGCAGUGGGGAAUAUUGCACAAGGGGCGCAAGCCUGAUGCAGCCAUGACGCGUGUAGGAAGAAGGACCUAGGGUUGUAAAGUACUUUCAGUGGGGAGGCGUUACCGACAGAAGAAGAACCGGCUAACUCCGUGCCAGCAGCCGCGGUAAUAC
RNAcentral lists this ribosomal RNA (403 nucleotides) under uncultured bacterium. RNAcentral's name for it is "partial 16S ribosomal RNA". It matches the Rfam family "Bacterial small subunit ribosomal RNA", at positions 30 to 526 of the family's 1533-position model. The record is from RNAcentral.